CUCAGUUUGAACUGCGCAACAGUCUCUCUGCCUUCUCAUUGGACAGCCGGACGAUGACACGCACUGACAGUUGAUAGCAGGUUGUGUGUGAGGGUGACAGCGGCUAGCAUCACACUUCAGCCGUGAAACUGCGGACGUUAGCCAAUUGAGAGGGAAACGACGGUUGAAUUAAUGUUCAGCAUAGCUCAGGAGCCCGCCAGCUAAAAGGAUAAAACGCUAUUUCUGAGUUCGGCGAGGAUGUCUGUCCCGGCAGGAGAGGGAUGAAGAUGACAACACUGUUAUGGCGAGUUGUGUCAGUGUGGCUAUGUGUAGCUGUAGUCUGUUGGUACCCUAGUUGCUAUGUCGGUUGCACGGAGCCGCACCAAGAGGCCCAGAGGCCCGAGUCCUCACAGGACGUCGGUUCGGAGGAAGAGCCAGGGGAAAGUAUUCAACCUCACAAGGUAGCAUUUGUUGUAGACUCCCUUUUCUAUAUUAACCACACAGGAAACCUGCUGCCAUGCUAGACAUGUAUCAGAUCAACACCUGUUUUUACAAGCGAAUGUCUUAAUAUAUCGGCCAGAAAAAUAUUGACGAUGCUCAUUUAGACCUGUGGGUGUUUGUGACUGAACUGUUUCUGUCAUGGUAUCAGUGAUACAUUUGUGUGUGUGUGUGUUCAUAUCUAGGUCGAGGAAAGCUGGGUGUUACCUGUCCAGUCCCUGCCUGAAAACGAACAGUUGAUAGAGGAUGAUUGGCAGAAAGAGGGGCAGACAGCACAAGAAGUGGACGAUAAACAACAUUCAGAGCAGGCCUUUGAAGCAGAGGAGCCUGCUGUGGAGGUAGAGCUGGAGGCACACAAAGGACUUUCACAACCUGAGCCAGAACCUGAGCAAAUCUCAGAAAAUCAACAUUCAGAAACUUCCAUCACUCAAGACCAGGACUCAGCCCCCCUGCUGCCUUCCCCCGACCCUCUUUCUGUUCCCGCCGCUGGGCUCAGAGACAACCCUGCCAUCCUUGAUAUUCAAGACAACAUCCCAAAUAGGCAAGAUAUUAUUACCUCCAGGCCGUUUUCUUCUUUUUAUAAGAGCUUAUCAGUUCGUUUAAUCUGUCAGCUUUCUGUAAAAAUAGCAACAACAAAAAAAACGCUUGCUUUGCUGUGUCUCAUUAUUUUGUUGUUCCAGAAAAUGUGCUGUGCAUUGCUUUAG
Molecule: long non-coding RNA, 1181 nt
Filed under: Sparus aurata (gilthead seabream)
Lineage: Eukaryota; Metazoa; Chordata; Actinopteri; Spariformes; Sparidae
Description: lncRNA (ENSSAUG00010014542.1)
Source: RNAcentral